GUCAAAGCGUUCAUUAAAGUCGAGUUGGCUUAGGGAUACGUUCGUUGGGUAGGGGAGCGUUCUGUAAGCCUGUGAAGGUGUGUCGUGAGGCAUGCUGGAGGUAUCAGAAGUGCGAAUGCUGACAUAAGUAACGAUAAAGCGGGUGAAAAGCCCGCUCGCCGGAAGACCAAGGGUUCCUGUCCAACGUUAAUCGGGGCAGGGUGAGUCGACCCCUAAGGCGAGGCCGAAAGGCGUAGUCGAUGGGAAACGGGUUAAUAUUCCCGUACUUGGUGUUACUGCGAAGGGGGGACGGAGAAGGCUAUGUUGGCCGGGCGACGGUUGUCCCG
RNAcentral lists this ribosomal RNA (326 nucleotides) under Salmonella enterica. RNAcentral describes it as "partial 23S ribosomal RNA". It matches the Rfam family "Bacterial large subunit ribosomal RNA", at positions 1181 to 1509 of the family's 2925-position model. Lineage: Bacteria; Pseudomonadati; Pseudomonadota; Gammaproteobacteria; Enterobacterales; Enterobacteriaceae. The record is from RNAcentral.